GGGAAAGUGGCCGAGUGGUUAAGGCGACACGUUCAGGUCGUGUUGGGAUUCAUCCCGCGCGCGUUCGAAUCGCGUCUUUCUCA
Molecule: non-coding RNA, 83 nt
Organism: Glutinoglossum americanum
Lineage: Eukaryota; Fungi; Ascomycota; Geoglossomycetes; Geoglossales; Geoglossaceae
Source: the annotation of a GenBank genome assembly